AGGAAAGAUCUGAGCCAGAAACUUAGAGAAAUAAGGAAAUUCUGCUCCAGCCUCCUGUUUCUCAUCAGUAUGUUUGUUGAACUCAUGUGUGACAAGGAGCAUUCUAUUUGCGAACACAAGAAAACUGCAAAUAUCUGGUAUAGGAUGCUGAUACAGAGUGGAGAAGCCGUGACUUAUUACAGGCACCCUGUCACCUCAAUUAAUACAGCAUGCCCACCUUGAGCAAAGGAUGCUCUCAAUCCAAGGAAAGAUUCCAAUGGAUCUGUCUGUAAGUAGGAAAAUUUUAUUU
Odocoileus virginianus texanus is the source of this 289-nucleotide long non-coding RNA. RefSeq lists it as uncharacterized. Lineage: Eukaryota; Metazoa; Chordata; Mammalia; Artiodactyla; Cervidae. The record is from RefSeq and is a predicted model, not a curated record.